RNAcentral lists this ribosomal RNA (231 nucleotides) under uncultured bacterium. RNAcentral's name for it is "partial 16S ribosomal RNA". It matches the Rfam family "Bacterial small subunit ribosomal RNA", at positions 15 to 241 of the family's 1533-position model. The record is from RNAcentral.
GAUCAUGGCUCAGGAUGAACGCUAGCUACAGGCUUAACACAUGCAAGUCGAGGGGCAGCAUCAUCAAGCUUGCUUUGAUGGAUGGCGACCGGCGCACGGGUGAGUAACACGUAUCCAACCUGCCGACACACUGGGAUAGCCUUUACGAAAGAAAGAUUAAUACCGGAUGGCAUAUAUUCCGCUAUGGAUAAUUAUUAAAGAAUUUCGGUUGUCGAUGGGGAUGCGUUCCUA